AACGUAGGAGACGAACGUUAUCCGGAGUUACUGGGCGUAAAGGGCGUGUAGGCGGACUGCUAAGUCUGGCGUGAAAGCUCUCGGCUAAACCGGGAGAGGUCGUUGGAUACUGGCGGACUAGAGGGUGGUAGAGGCGUGUGGAAUUCCGGGUGUAGUGGUGAAAUGCGUAGAGAUCCGGAGGAACACCAGUGGCGAAGGCGACACGCUGGGCCAUACCUGACGCUAAAGCGCGACAGCAUGGGGAGCAAACGGG
This 253-nucleotide unclassified non-coding RNA is filed under the name uncultured Anaerolineae bacterium. RNAcentral's name for it is "contains 16S-23S intergenic spacer region". It matches the Rfam family "Bacterial small subunit ribosomal RNA", at positions 524 to 776 of the family's 1533-position model. Lineage: Bacteria; Bacillati; Chloroflexota; Anaerolineae. The record is from RNAcentral.